UACGGAGGAUGCAAGCGUUAUCCGGAUUCAUUGGGUUUAAAGGGUGCGUAGGCGGACUAUUAAGUCAGUGGUGAAAGCCUGCAGCUUAACUGCAGAACUGCCAUUGAUACUGAUAGUCUUGAGUUUGGUUAAGGUAGGCGGAAUGUGUAAUGUAGCGGUGAAAUGCUUAGAUAUUACACAGAACACCAAUUGCGUAGGCAGCUUACUAAUCCAUCAUUGACGCUGAGGCACGAAAGCGUGGGGAUCAAACA
RNAcentral lists this ribosomal RNA (251 nucleotides) under uncultured prokaryote. RNAcentral describes it as "partial 16S ribosomal RNA". It matches the Rfam family "Bacterial small subunit ribosomal RNA", at positions 524 to 774 of the family's 1533-position model. The record is from RNAcentral.